UACCCAGACUCCUACGGGAGGCAGCAGUGGGGGAUAUUGCACAAUGGGGGGAACCCUGAUGCAGCGACGCCGCGUGGGUGAAGGAGCGUUUCGGCGCGUAAAGCCCUAUCGGCAGGGAAGAAGGAGGACGGUACCUGACUAAGAAGCCCCGGCUAACUACGUGCCAGCAGCCGCGGUAAUACGUAGGGGGCAAGCGUUAUCCGGAUUUACUGGGUGUAAAGGGAGCGUAGACGGCCAGACAAGUCAGAAGUGAAAGCCCAGGGCUCAACCCUGGGACUGCUUUUGAAACUGCCGGGCUGGAGUGCAGGAGGGGCAGGCGGAAUUCCUGGUGUAGCGGUGAAAUGCGUAGAUAUCAGGAGGAACACCGGUGGCGAAGGCGGCCUGCUGGACUGCAACUGACGUUGAGGCCCGAAAGCGUGGGGAGCAAACAGGAUUAGAUACCCCUGUA
RNAcentral lists this ribosomal RNA (448 nucleotides) under uncultured bacterium. RNAcentral's name for it is "bacterial SSU rRNA". It matches the Rfam family "Bacterial small subunit ribosomal RNA", at positions 328 to 792 of the family's 1533-position model. The record is from RNAcentral.